RNAcentral lists this long non-coding RNA (225 nucleotides) under Daucus carota (carrot). RNAcentral's name for it is "long non-coding RNA (DCAR_LNC002314)". The record is from RNAcentral. Lineage: Eukaryota; Viridiplantae; Streptophyta; Magnoliopsida; Apiales; Apiaceae.
UUUGUAACCCCACACUUUGGCUGAUUAGCAAAUCAGACCCCACACUUUGAAACGUGACAGUUUGUAACCCUAAGUUUCAUUUUGCUUUCGGUUUGUAACCCUCCGUUAAAAACAGCCGUUAACUUUAACUAUUUGAGAGGUAACAGUGUGUAUAUUAGUUCCUAACAGCUACUUUACCGCAUGUGACCCCUCAAAAUUUAUGUAUUAUAUUUUGAAAUUAAUUCU